Molecule: ribosomal RNA, 600 nt
Filed under: uncultured bacterium
Lineage: Bacteria
Description: bacterial SSU rRNA
Rfam family: Bacterial small subunit ribosomal RNA
Source: RNAcentral
CAAGGUCAGUGGCGGACGGGUGCGUAACACGUAGGUGACCUGCCCUGGAGUGGGGAAUAAUUCCGCGAAAGCGGGACUAAUACCGCAUGUGCUCGUUGAUUCGGUUGAACGAGCAAAGCAGCGAUGUGCUCUGGGAUGGGCCUGCGGCGGAUUAGCUAGUUGGUGGGGUAAAGGCCUACCAAGGCGAUGAUCCGUAGGGGGCGUGAGAGCGUGACCCCCCACAUUGGCACUGAGACACGGGCCAAACUCCUACGGGAGGCAGCAGUGAGGAAUAUUGCGCAAUGGGCGAAAGCCUGACGCAGCAACGCCGCGUGAGGGAUGAAGGCCUUCGGGUCGUAAACCUCUUUUCUGGGGGACGAGACAAGGACGGUACCUCAGGAAUAAGUCUCGGCUAACUACGUGCCAGCAGCCGCGGUAAAACGUAGGAGGCGAGCGUUAUCCGGAUUUACUGGGCGUAAAGCGCACGCAGGCGGGUCAGUAAGUUGGAUGUGAAAGCUCCCGGCUUAACUGGGAGAGGCCAUUCAAGACUGCUGGGCUUGAGGUUGGGAGAGGGGUGUGGAAUUCCCGGUGUAGUGGUGGAAUGCGUAGAUAUCGGGAGGA